GGGAUAUAACAACCUGGAAGCAGUAAUGGCGGCCAAACAUUGGACCAUUCCUUAGACAUUUUCACCAUUUCCCGCGAUCCUAGGGCUUUUCUCACCACCGCGCCGCCACUGCAUGAAAGUUGAGUGCCUGAAGUGCCCGCGGUGACCUGAAGUGCGGCUGAAAUAAGGCGGGAAGUGAGUGAAAUGACUGGUUGAAGUGGAGAAGGCAGGCAGGUUGGUGGCAGUGUACACUUUCAUCAUCUCUGAAAUUUGUGGAAACUCAAGGAAAAAAGCGCCAUAUUUGUGUCCCCUCGCUGUGUGUCGCCGGGGAAAGUGUCGCAGUGCUUAGGGGAGGAAUUGGCAGUGCUCAUUUUGCCCACCAGAACGCCGGCAGGUGACAAAAUAGUGCUUAAAUGUAGGGCGGGUGACAACUCUUGAAAUCUCGACUCCCCUGUUCACUUACUUUUUUUUAUUAUUUUUUUCAUUUUUCAUUUUCGGUUGUCGUGAUUCCGCCACUCACCGACACACUGACUCAUGUACAACCCUAUCAGGUAAGGCGACUCACCUGGACAGCCCCAGCCGGAUGUUGCCUACAGGUGUGAGAGCAAAGAAGGAAUAAGAGAAAACACAUGAUAAUAACUCCAUGUACGUAUUUUGAGUGUGUGUGUAUGUGUGUACGUUUAUAAACCUACACAAACGUACAUGAAACAGAAAACGGGAAUAUUUUUACGUACACAUGAAUGAAAAGUGGAUGGAGUAAAGGAGGAACAUUUGAUAAAGAAGGGAGAUAGAGAGAGAGAAGGAGAGAAAAGAGAGAAUUGAGAGAUAGAGGAAGGAAAGAAG
Portunus trituberculatus (swimming crab) is the source of this 822-nucleotide long non-coding RNA. RefSeq lists it as uncharacterized. The transcript is spliced from 3 exons. The record is from RefSeq and is a predicted model, not a curated record. NCBI's taxonomy places the organism in Eukaryota, Metazoa, Arthropoda, Malacostraca, Decapoda, Portunidae.